GAUCUACAACUCUUGUUCCCAAAUGCAUCUCAGCUCAAUAAACCGUUUCCACAAACCCCCAGAUGAAAUUUAGCAAACAAAAAAGGCUUUGCUAUCCAUAUCUGCCAAUAAGGCCUGAUGCCAUAACCAUUUAGCCCUCACUGGAAAACUUAUGAAGGUGUGGAGCCAAUAGGUGAUGUGUGCGUCAAGGGUAAAUAAAAAUGUUUUCCAAGUGGUUUUGAAGCUAUUUACUAAAAUAAGUGAAAAUAUUUCUGAUAAAAACAGAAUUCCCCGCCUCUAUGACUAAGGCAUCUUCAGUAGUGUCCUUCCGGAUUCAUGGCUUUGCCCACAGGGUGACAAAAUGCGCUGUAAAUGGAGAAUGCUGCGGCCGCGGUUCAGCCACGAUAUUGGAGUCUGUUUGUCAGGACCCAUAUCUUUAAAAUCUCUUUUGGUUGUCUAGAUUUUUGCCUGCUUGAUGUAAAAAAAAA
Long non-coding RNA from Anguilla anguilla (European eel), 467 nucleotides. RefSeq lists it as uncharacterized. The record is from RefSeq and is a predicted model, not a curated record. The transcript has 2 exons. Lineage: Eukaryota; Metazoa; Chordata; Actinopteri; Anguilliformes; Anguillidae.